AUACGGAGGAUGCGAGCGUUAUCCGGAUUUAUUGGGUUUAAAGGGAGCGUAGGUGGGAUAUUAAGUCAGCUGUGAAAGUUUGGGGCUCAACCUUAAAAUUGCAGUUGAUACUGGUUUCCUUGAGUACGGUACAGGUGGGCGGAAUUCGUGGUGUAGCGGUGAAAUGCUUAGAUAUCACGAAGAACUCCGAUUGCGAAGGCAGCUCACUAGACUGCAACUGACACUGAUGCUCGAAAGUGUGGGUAUCAAACAGGAUUAGAUACCCUGGUAGUCCACACAGUAAACGAUGAAUACUCGCUGUUUGCGAUAUACAGUAAGCGGCCAAGCGAAAGCAUUAAGUAUUCCACCUGGGGAGUACGCCGGCAACGGUGAAACUCAAAUGAAUUGGCGGGG
RNAcentral lists this ribosomal RNA (393 nucleotides) under uncultured bacterium. RNAcentral's name for it is "partial 16S ribosomal RNA". It matches the Rfam family "Bacterial small subunit ribosomal RNA", at positions 523 to 918 of the family's 1533-position model. The record is from RNAcentral.